UUUUUUUUUUUUUCUCAUUUAUCUACUCCCUGGCUGGUAACGAAACCUGCUUGGCAAUUAGCUGUUAGAUUUGUCACACCCAAUUUAACACUUCCAUUAAUUAUAAAAAGUAAAGUCCAAAUGUGAAAUCAUUUAAGCCUCAUCUACUUUUUGCUGGUAGGAUGCCCUGAGUCCCACUGGGUGGAGCCUAGCACUGCCAACACCUUGACAGCUCACCUGCUGUCAGGUCUGCUGAGACAGGCCUGGCUAUCUUUCUGCCAAGUCAAGGAAGAGGCAUCCUGGAAAACCAAAAAUCCAGCUCCUUUGUUCCACAAAAAAAAAAAAAAAAAAACGAUUCAUUCUUAAAAGUCGCCAUGUAACCAAGUAUAUUCAACUCAUAUCCCGGCAUCUAGCCAAACAGAAACAGAUUCAAGGACACAGAGAAUAGACUAGCGGUUGCCAGGGGGAGGCGGGAGAGGUGGGAUGGACGGGGAGUUUGGGGUCAGUAGAUGCAAACUAUUACAUUUAGAAUGGAUAAACAAUGAGGUCCUGCUGUACAGCACAGGGAACUAUAUCCAGUCUCUUGGGAUGCACCAUGAUGGAAAAUAAUAUGAGAAAAAGAAUAUGUGUGUGUGCGUGUGUGUGACUGGGUCACUACACUGUACAGCAGAAAUUGACUCCAUACUGUAAGUUAAUUAUAUUCUAAUAAAAAAUGAAUUUAAAAAAAGAGAUAACUCUCCCACAUGAAAAGACAAGGAGAGUCAACUGGGGCUAUCACUAGUUCAGAUAUUAUUUGUUGGCUGUCUCAGAGUGUAAGUGCACAGACAGCAAAUACACUAUUUGACUCUUCCAGAGCCCCCUGAAACAGAAGCAUGUACGGAAAAGAACAUAAAAAUCUCUGAAGAAGAAGAAAUGUCAAAUAUCAGGUCUGGGUUCUAAGACAAGUGCUGAUGCUCAAUGCUCACCUGAAAAGCAGAGGUUUCUGGCUAGAUUGUCUGGUCAUUUCAACAGCCAAUGGAGUUACCAUUUUUCUGUACAGCUUCCACGGUUCCAGCCCAGCCCUACUGAUUCCAAAUCUCCAGGGUUAGGGUCUGGAUGCCUCUGUGUGUGUGUUGCUUCUGAGGUAAAGCGAUAAUCAACCACACUUAGAAACUACUGAUCUACAGAACCUAAAACCUGAAAUCAAAUACCCUCAGAAGCCAGGCAGUUCAAUGAGCAAAGCAGAUGAGUAAAAGACACAGGUAGUGAUGGCGCAUGCAUGCAAAUUGUAUUAGAGAAACAAACACUGCGGGCCACAUCUGAUCUGCUGCUCUUGACGUUGCUGUUUUUGUAUUUCGGUUAUAACUUCUUGAAGCUGGGCACCAAAUCUCAUUCAUUUCUGUCCCUGGUAUAGUGUGGACGAGACAGUAGGUUCAAUCAAUGUUUGCUAAACUAUUGACGAAAAUGAGGGGAAAUCCCAACUCUUCUGACGUGAUUAAAAGAACUGCCAGGAAAACGCCUUCUCAUUCAUUCAUGCAACCAACAUGAAUUACACACCUACUACGUAUAUAAGGCUCUAAGGACACUGAAUUGAAUAAGAUAGACAAGACUUCUGUCCAUGUGGGGUUGGCACUGGGACAGAAGGAGAAAGAGACAGGUAAUAAAGAUGCAUAAAUAAGCCAAUUUCAGACAGUGAUGUUAUUCAGAAUUAAAAUAGCUGCAUUUAGUCUCACAGGUGGUUAAGCCACACAGAAGUCAGUGGAGCUGAAGAAUACCCACUUGAUGGGGGGCAGAGGAGGCGUGGGGGUUGAGAAUUACAUCACCUGAGCUCUGCCACCAUGCCAGUGGAGGGACAAAUCAUUUAAUCGAUCUGGAGGAAUUAGGUGAAAUGGUCUCUAAGACUUCCCGGCCCUAAGAUUUUAUAUUCUAUUAGUAAAGACACAGGAGCCAGCAUUUCACAUACCGGGAUGGUCAUGCCCAGUCUAGUGUCCAAAUACUUUGAGGUCCCGCCCCUUCAUGGUUGGCUCAAGAUGUUUACACGUUAUUAUAGACUGAAAAUAUCUUCCAAGCGUUUCACGAGUCCACCUCUACAGUUGACCUAAGGCAAAACCACAGGCUCAGAUAUUUACUGCCACAGUGCAAUGGCUACCGGCAUGCCCAGACGAUAUUAUGAAGCUGGCAGAGUCGCAGGCCCUAGGGCAAGGGAAACCAAAUAUCAAGUUCAAGGUGAUUAAGGAAUCCAGAAAUUAGUCAAAUUCCCUCAUUCAACAAACAUUAAUAAGAGACUGCAGGAAACACUGGUCUGGUUCCUAAGGAAAACACACACACACACACACACACACACACACACACACACACACACACACACACACACACACACACACACACACACACACACAGUCUCCUCCCAUAAUCCUAAGCACUCGGGUCUGGAGCAGAGAUACUGAACCUGGGUUUCAGCGGCUCCAGGAACCUCAUGCAAUUAAAUGCCAAAUUAAGGAGAGUUUUUAUUAAAUUCCCAACAGGGUCGAUGAUCCAAACUAGAGACAUUACACAAGACACCUGAGGCAAGGACUCUCUUUGACUUAUGCGAAUCCCCAUUGUAUAAACAAGGAAACUGAGGUUUCGGGAAGGGAACAUGCCAAGACGCAGCCAAGAAGCGGGCCCGGCAAAAACUUGAACCUUGAUCUGCUCAACCCCACAGUCUGGUGUUUUUCCCCGUGUGCCACGCCCUCGCACACUGUUUUCAUGACUUACCAAAAAUAAAAAUAUUUGUUGGCUCUCUGUUCUGUUCCAUUGGUCUAUAUGUCUGUCCUCUUGCCAGUUUCAUAUUGCCUUUUUUUUUUUAUGGCCACAUCCACGGCAUGGGGAAGUUCCGAGGCCAGGGAGUGAACCUGUGCCACAGCAGCGACAACACCACAUCUUUUUAACCAGCUGUGUCACAAGGGAAUUCAAAAAAAUAAAAAUAAAAUAGAGAAAAAGGAU
RNAcentral lists this long non-coding RNA (2943 nucleotides) under Sus scrofa (pig). RNAcentral's name for it is "lncRNA (ENSSSCG00015035592.1)". Lineage: Eukaryota; Metazoa; Chordata; Mammalia; Artiodactyla; Suidae. The record is from RNAcentral.